Molecule: ribosomal RNA, 522 nt
Filed under: uncultured Glomeraceae
Lineage: Eukaryota; Fungi; Glomeromycota; Glomeromycetes; Glomerales; Glomeraceae
Description: SSU rRNA
Rfam family: Eukaryotic small subunit ribosomal RNA
Source: RNAcentral
AGCAGCCGCGGUAAUUCCAGCUCCAAUAGCGUAUAUUAAAGUUGUUGCAGUUAAAAAGCUCGUAGUUGAAUUUCGAGAUCAGUACGCUGGUCGUGCCUUCGGUAUGUACUGGUGUCACUGGUUUCUCCCUUCUGAAGAACCGUUAUGUCAUUAAGUUGGUGUGGCGGGGAAUCAGGACUGUUACUUUGAAAAAAUUAGAGUGUUUAAAGCAGGCUCGCGCUUGAAUACAUUAGCAUGGAAUAAUGAAAUAGGACGUUUGACCCUAUUUUGUUGGUUUCUAGGAUCGACGUAAUGAUUAAUAGGGAUAGUUGGGGGCAUUAGUAUUCAAUUGUCAGAGGUGAAAUUCUUGGAUUUAUUGAAGACUAACUACUGCGAAAGCAUUUGCCAAGGAUGUUUUCAUUAAUCAAGAACGAAAGUUAGGGGAUCGAAGACGAUCAGAUACCGUCGUAGUCUUAACCAUAAACUAUGCCGACUAGGGAUCGGAUGAUGUUAAUUUUUUAAUGACUCAUUCGGCGCCUUACG